RNAcentral lists this ribosomal RNA (795 nucleotides) under uncultured bacterium. RNAcentral describes it as "bacterial SSU rRNA". It matches the Rfam family "Bacterial small subunit ribosomal RNA", at positions 61 to 824 of the family's 1533-position model. The record is from RNAcentral.
GUCGACGGGAAGACAUGAAGAGCUUGCUCUUUAUGAAAUCCAGUGGCAAACGGGUGAGUAACACGUAAACAACCUGCCUUCAGGAUGGGGACAACAGACGGAAACGACUGCUAAUACCGAAUACGAUUCUUGAGUCGCAUGACACAAGAAAGAAAGGGUGGCCUCUACUUGUAAGCUAUCGCCUGAAGAGGGGUUUGCGUCCGAUUAGGUAGUUGGUGAGGUAACGGCCCACCAAGCCGACGAUCGGUAGCCGGUCUGAGAGGAUGAACGGCCACAUUGGAACUGAGACACGGUCCAGACUCCUACGGGAGGCAGCAGUGGGGAAUCUUCCGCAAUGGGCGAAGGCCUGACGGAGCAACGCCGCGUGAGUGAAGACGGCCUUCGGGUUGUAAAACUCUGUGAUUCGGGACGAAAAAUAAGCAGACGAAUAAUCUGCAUAAGUGACGGUACCGAAAAAGCAAGCCACGGCUAACUACGUGCCAGCAGCCGCGGUAAUACGUAGGUGGCAAGCGUUGUCCGGAAUUAUUGGGCGUAAAGCGCGCGCAGGCGGCUACUUAAGUCCAUCUUAAAAGUGCGGGGCUUAACCCCGUGAUGGGAUGGAAACUGAGAAGCUGGAGUGUCGGAGAGGAAAGUGGAAUUCCUAGUGUAGCGGUGAAAUGCGUAGAGAUUAGGAAGAACACCGGUGGCGAAGGCGACUUUCUGGACGACAACUGACGCUUAGGCGCGAAAGCGUGGGGAGCAAACAGGAUUNNAUACCCUGGUAGUCCACGCCGUANACGAUGGAUACUAGGNNNA